This is a long non-coding RNA of Cydia fagiglandana, 1882 nucleotides long. RefSeq lists it as uncharacterized. The transcript is spliced from 2 exons. The record is from RefSeq and is a predicted model, not a curated record. NCBI's taxonomy places the organism in Eukaryota, Metazoa, Arthropoda, Insecta, Lepidoptera, Tortricidae.
AAAGUAACGUCAGUGAUAGUUUGUGCGCCUGCAACAUACUCGUAUAAUGAACUAAUGGUGCAGAACUUGCGAAAUAAGAUUAUAUUUAAAUUAUCGUAAAAUUGCGUAAUCAUAUCUGAAUCGCGAUUUUACUGUGUUCAGAGAGUAGAAAGUUAUAAUAUUAUGUGGCAGCAUAGACUAUCAGAUCCAGGACUUAUGGUCAAAGUCGAAAUUACGAUAUCUUCUUCUCGUACAUUCGAUACAGAUAUUUAUUACUAAAGCGUAGAUGAUUCUGAAACUGGGUAUUCAGUGUAAGCACUAUUUAUAAGUUAUACCUGUCUACUCUCUGACAUUUCUUAUAACAGUCUAAACUGAUCGAUACGCGUCUUAAUAGGCAAUCUCAGAAUCCCAAUAAGUUCGACCAGACUUGAUCCAAAGGUUUGUGUUCUGAUUGGCAGAUCUGGACCAAUCACAAACUGUUCACCGUUAGAAAUAGAACAUUGAAAUAGAUUAAUUUGGAUCUAUUAAAAACUUCAGGGAUUUGCGAAAUUCUUUGGGAUUUUGUGUUGCCGAACGUAAUCGGGUAUCUAUUUUCGACCUUUUUGCGUGUAACAAAAAGGAAUUGGUAGUAGGCACUGUAAUAUAUGUAGUGUCCGUCACAGUAGGACCCGGCAUGCUCUUAAACUAUUCAUUCAAUACUCUAGGUAAACCAGAAUGCUUCUAUUUGACACUAAUGAACUGCUCGUAUAAACAUAGAUACAGCCUGAUACACAUAUGCAUUUGGUAUAGAAAAUUGUGUCUUUCUGUAUCUCGUUACCAGGCGGAUAGUUUGCGAUACCAAGUGUCGCUUAUAACUCAUUUCACGUGUACUCGCGUCACUUCACAACAUUUACUGGUGGUGGAAUGCGUCAUAAGCUUUUAAUGACGUUAGGUAUUUCAAUGACGCGUUUCCAUAAUUUUAUUUCCGCUUAAUAGCUCAAUAUAGUUUAUUCAGCAUCAGUGAUGAAUAGAAGCAUCAUCCGUACCAUAUGGCGCAUAUACUCGAUGAUAAAUGCCAUGUCAUAGUUCCAUCGCUUUAAUUAUAAUGAAAACACAUCGAGACAGUAAAUAUAUACGGGUAUAUGCGCAUAUUUUGACAAAACUGAACCACGUGACGUACUUAUAACUAUCGGGACAGGCAAAGCCCGCGGAUUAUACAUUUCUAAAUGGCGUCGCGCUACCUCCCCUGUAUAUUCUUAUGGAUGAAGAUGACACAAGAUAUUUAAAGAUGAAAAUGAUAAUAAAAGUCAUAAGCACUUUGUUUCUAGGAUGUGUUCUGCAUUGUGCAGUCCAGACAAGCCGAAACCGCCUUUUUAUGUGAUCAGUCCUUCUAGCACGCUGACGAUUAUUUCAUACUUAAAGCAAAAAGCGCGAGGGGCGUAAUGCUUUAGAGACUGUGCACCCUGGCGUUCCAAACCGCGGUUCUUCGGUGGAUUAAUACAAACUUGUUGAACGCAUUCGAGUUUGUAUGGAAUCAUCAAAGGUCUGCCGUUGGGAAGUUCCAAGUUCCAAUGCACACAUUAUUUAGACAUCAGAAGUUAGACUACAUCGCGCGAGUUAGAAACCACUCUAGACAGCAGAAUGCAAAACUCAACAAGUACAAAGUUGUAUUGUAUGGUAGCGGCGAGGUAGGUAGUAGCGACGCCGGCUAUCUUAGACAUCACCUAGCAAACGGGAGCCGCUCAUGCACACGGGACUACAAUGCGCAUACGCACGGACACGGCUAUAUUCUCUCUCGUUAAGGCGAUUAUACAAAUUUAAACACUAUGUUAAAUUGCACACUGACCCACCUCUAUAAACUUUUAAUUGCGAUAAAUAUUCGUAAUGCUGUAUAAAAAUAUUAAAGGAAAAAUCGUCAUGUUAA